UGUCCCUCCGCCGUGCUAUCCUGCCUUGGAGCCAGCUGACAAUGGACUGAAACCUCUACAAACUAUGGGGUCUUGCUAUGUCACCCAGGAUGGUCUCAAAUUCCUCGGUUCAAGUGAUCUUCCUGCCCAAGUCUCCGAGUAGCUGGAAUGACAGUCAUAUAAAGAUACAAGAAGAAGAUGGCUGUCUGCAAAUCAGGAAGACUGACCUCACCAGACAUUGGAUCUGCUGGUUGUACCUGGAUCUUGAACUUCCCAACCUUCAUAUGUAUGAGG
Molecule: long non-coding RNA, 273 nt
Organism: Heterocephalus glaber (naked mole-rat)
Lineage: Eukaryota; Metazoa; Chordata; Mammalia; Rodentia; Bathyergidae
Source: RefSeq, a predicted model, not a curated record